RNAcentral lists this ribosomal RNA (253 nucleotides) under uncultured bacterium. Its description in RNAcentral is "partial 16S ribosomal RNA". It matches the Rfam family "Bacterial small subunit ribosomal RNA", at positions 524 to 776 of the family's 1533-position model. The record is from RNAcentral.
UACGAAGGGGGCUAGCGUUGCUCGGAAUCACUGGGCGUAAAGCGCGCGCAGGCGGUCCUUUAAGUCAGGGGUGAAAGCCCAGAGCUCAACUCUGGAACUGCCUUUGAAACUAGAGGACUUGGGUACGGGAGAGGUGAGUGGAAUUUGUAGUGUAGCAGUGAAAUGCGUAGAUAUUACAAGGAACACCAAUGGCGAAGGCAGCUUACUGGGCUACUCCUGACACUGAGGUACGAAAGCGUGGGGAGCGAACAGG